Long non-coding RNA from Ipomoea nil (Japanese morning glory), 762 nucleotides. RefSeq lists it as uncharacterized. The record is from RefSeq and is a predicted model, not a curated record. NCBI's taxonomy places the organism in Eukaryota, Viridiplantae, Streptophyta, Magnoliopsida, Solanales, Convolvulaceae. The transcript has 2 exons.
UCCAUUGUUCUGUUUUUGUCAUUACAUGUCUCUCGAUUAAUACCUCGUGGCAUCAUUCUUGGAAAAAUAAAAAGUUCAAUCUUGAAAAUUCAUAUAAAAAAAAUUGAUAGAUAAAGGCAAGAAGAAGAAGAAUAACAAUAUCUAGAACAAGUAUUUUGUGGUAGAAUUAACAGUAGACAGGAAAGGGUGAAGGGCAAUGAUUUGAAGGUCUGGAAUCCUUGUUAAGUUGUCCCAUAUAUGUUGAUAGAUACAAUAUGAUUGAUUGGAAACUGUGUUUUGAAUCCAAUAUAAUCUUACUGUUGUGUGCACAUAUAUAUGUUGUUUUGGGUUGAGAGAAAAAGUGUUAAGAGCAUGCCCUGGAUUUAGGAUAAGUGUGCAAAGUUUUAGUAUAUGUAUGGAAACAUGAAAUGCACAUGUAUGGGUUUUUGGAGUAGUAUAUAUGGAAAAGGAAAAAGGUAACCAAUUUCUUUUGGCAGAUUUUGGAGAGGGAUUAGGAGGCAAAGGAAUGUGAGUGAAUGGUUGGGUUGAUGAUGGUCUCUCUCUCUCUCUCUCUCUCUCUCUCUCGGUCUUUAGUGGUGGGUUUCAUCAUCAUCAUCAUCAUGCACGCCGGCAGCUUUUUUUCCCCUUUGUCUUCCCUCUCUUUCUCUCUCCCUCUCAUCGAGUCAUUGCCCAUUUCUCACGCUUGCUUUCUCCUAUUAGCCAACUUCAAUUUAAUUUACAAAUUACGAUAUGUUACAUAUAAUAUUCCUUAUUAUUCUUCUA